CGUGGAGAACCUGCCCCCUCCCCCGGGAUAGCCGCCCGAAAGGACGGGUAAUACCGGAUACCCCGGGGUGCCGCAUGGCACCCCGGCUAAAGCCCCGACGGGAGGGGAUGGCUCCGCGGCCCAUCAGGUAGACGGCGGGGUGACGGCCCACCGUGCCGACAACGGGUAGCCGGGUUGAGAGACCGACCGGCCAGAUUGGGACUGAGACACGGCCCAGACUCCUACGGGAGGCAGCAGUGGGGAAUCUUGCGCAAUGGGGGGAACCCUGACGCAGCGACGCCGCGUGCGGGACGGAGGCCUUCGGGUCGUAAACCGCUUUCAGCAGGGAAGAGUCAAGACUGUACCUGCAGAAGAAGCCCCGGCUAACUACGUGCCAGCAGCCGCGGUAAUACGUAGGGGGCGAGCGUUAUCCGGAUUCAUUGGGCGUAAAGCGC
This 434-nucleotide ribosomal RNA is filed under the name Collinsella sp. HGA0117. Its description in RNAcentral is "bacterial SSU rRNA". It matches the Rfam family "Bacterial small subunit ribosomal RNA", at positions 116 to 568 of the family's 1533-position model. Lineage: Bacteria; Bacillati; Actinomycetota; Coriobacteriia; Coriobacteriales; Coriobacteriaceae. The record is from RNAcentral.